AGUGAACGCUGGCGGUAUACCUAACACAUGCAAGUCGAACGGCAGCACAGUAAGAGCUUGCUCUUACUGUUGGCGAGUGGCGGACGGGUGAGGAAUACAUCGGAAUCUACUUUUUCGUGGGGGAUAACGUAGGGAAACUUACGCUAAUACCUCAUACUACCUACGGGUGAAAGCAGGGGAUCUUCGGACCUUGCGCGAUUGUAUGAGCCGAUGUCGGAUUAGCUAGUUGGCGUGGUAAAGGCCCACCAAGGCGACGAUACGUAGCUGGUCUGAGAGGAUGAUCAGCCACACUGGAACUGAGACACGGUCCAGACUCCUACGGGAGGCAGCAGUGGGGAAUAUUGGACAAUGGGCGCAAGCCUGACCCAGCAAUACCGCGUGGGUGAAGAAGGCCUUCGGGUUGUAAAGCUCUUUUGUUGGGAAAGAAAAGCAGCAGGUUAAUCCCCCGCUGUUCUGACGGUACCCAAAGAAUAAGCAACGGCUAACUUCGUG
RNAcentral lists this ribosomal RNA (492 nucleotides) under uncultured bacterium. Its description in RNAcentral is "partial 16S ribosomal RNA". It matches the Rfam family "Bacterial small subunit ribosomal RNA", at positions 29 to 507 of the family's 1533-position model. The record is from RNAcentral.